This 700-nucleotide ribosomal RNA is filed under the name uncultured bacterium. RNAcentral describes it as "bacterial SSU rRNA". It matches the Rfam family "Bacterial small subunit ribosomal RNA", at positions 94 to 771 of the family's 1533-position model. The record is from RNAcentral.
AGUGGCGCACGGGUGAGUAACGCGUGGGUAAUCUACCUCCGAAUUGGGGAUAACAUUGCGAAAGCGGUGCUAAUACCGAAUAACAUCCCCGAGACUCCGGUUUUGGUGAUCAAAGGUGGCCUCUACAUGUAAGCUACUGUUUGGAGAUGAGCCCGCGUACCAUUAGCUUGUUGGUAGGGUAACGGCCUACCAAGGCUGCGAUGGUUAGCUGGUCUGAGAGGAUGAUCAGCCACACUGGAACUGACACACGGUCCAGACUCCUACGGGAGGCAGCAGUGAGGAAUUUUGCGCAAUGGGGGAAACCCUGACGCAGCAACGCCGCGUGAGUGAUGAAGGCCUUCGGGUCGUAAAGCUCUGUCAAGUGGGAAGAAUCUGCCCGAUGAUAAUACCAUUGGGCACCGACGGUACCACUGAAGGAAGCACCGGCUAACUCCGUGCCAGCAGCCGCGGUAAUACGGGGGUGCAAGCGUUAUUCGGAAUCAUUGGGCGUAAAGGGCGCGUAGGCGGUCUUUUAAGUCAGAUGUGAAAGCCCUCGGCUUAACCGAGGAAGUGCAUUUGAUACUAAGAGCUUUGAGUAUGGGAGAGGGAAGCGGAAUUCCUGGUGUAGCGGUGAAAUGCGUAGAUAUCAGGAGGAACACCGGUGGCGAAGGCGGCUUCCUGGACCAAUACUGACGCUGAGGCGCGAAGGCGUGGGGAGCAA